CAAUAGCGUAUAUUUAAGUUGUUGCAGUUAAAAAGCUCGUAGUUGGAUUUCGGGUGGGACGCAGCGGUCUCGCAUUGCGUUUGUACUGCUGCAGCCCUCCUUCUUGCCGGGGGCGGCCUCUCGGACUUCACUGUCUGGGGGUCAGAAUCGGCGAUGUUACUUUGAGUAAAUUAGAGUGUUCAAAGCAAGCCUUCGCUCUGAAUAUAAUAGCAUGGGAUAACACGACAGGACUCUGGCCUAUCGUGUUGGUCUGUAGGACCGGAGUAAUGAUUAAGAGGAACAGUCGGGGGCAUUCGUAUUCCAUUGUCAGAGGUGAAAUUCUUAGAUUUAUGGAAGACGAACAUCUGCGAAAGCAUUUGCCAAGGAUGUUUUCAUUG
Molecule: ribosomal RNA, 377 nt
Filed under: uncultured eukaryote
Lineage: Eukaryota
Description: partial 18S ribosomal RNA
Rfam family: Eukaryotic small subunit ribosomal RNA
Source: RNAcentral